This 230-nucleotide microRNA precursor is filed under the name Oryza sativa (Asian cultivated rice). RNAcentral's name for it is "partial microRNA MIR433a-25 precursor". The stretch from base 12 to 216 matches the Rfam family "MIR812 microRNA precursor family". The record is from RNAcentral. Lineage: Eukaryota; Viridiplantae; Streptophyta; Magnoliopsida; Poales; Poaceae.
CUCCGUCCCAAAAUAAGUAUAGCCAUAGUUUUCUGCGUCUAAAUUUGACCAUUCGUCUUAUUUAAAAAAUUUUAAAAAAAAAUUAAAAACACAAGUCACGAGUAAAGUACUAUUAAAGCUUUAUCAUCUUAUAACAAUAAAAAUACUAAUUAUAAAAAAAAAUUAAAUAAGACGAACGAUUAAAGUUGGACGCGGAAACUCAUGGCUGCACUUAUUUUGGGACAGAGGUA